RNAcentral lists this ribosomal RNA (445 nucleotides) under uncultured bacterium. RNAcentral describes it as "partial 16S ribosomal RNA". It matches the Rfam family "Bacterial small subunit ribosomal RNA", at positions 354 to 796 of the family's 1533-position model. The record is from RNAcentral.
GUGAGGAAUAUUGGUCAAUGGGCGGGAGCCUGAACCAGCCAAGUCGCGUGAAGGAAGAAGGAUCUAUGGUUCGUAAACUUCUUUUGCAGGGGAAUAAAGUGCAGGACGUGUCCUGUUUUGUAUGUACCCUGAGAAUAAGGAUCGGCUAACUCCGUGCCAGCAGCCGCGGUAAUACGGAGGAUCCGAGCGUUAUCCGGAUUUAUUGGGUUUAAAGUGUGCGUAGGUGGUUUGAUAAGUCAGCGGUGAAAGUUUGCAGCUUAACUGUAAAAAUGCCGUUGAAACUGUCGGACUUGAGUGUAAAUGAGGUAGGCGGAAUGCGUGGUGUAGCGGUGAAAUGCAUAGAUAUCACGCAGAACUCCGAUUGCGAAGGCAGCUUACUAAGCUACAACUGACACUGAAGCACGAAAGCGUGGGGAUCAAACAGGAUUAGAUACCCCGGUAGUCC